This is a long non-coding RNA of Oncorhynchus tshawytscha (Chinook salmon), 1390 nucleotides long. The record is from Ensembl. NCBI's taxonomy places the organism in Eukaryota, Metazoa, Chordata, Actinopteri, Salmoniformes, Salmonidae.
CCAGACGGUUGGUUUGGAUAAGGUAUAGAAGAGGGUUGGCUUUUUAGCUGUGACCGACAUGGAAAUGUUCCCCAGAGGGGUCGUGAUUAACAACAUGUCGAAGAAGGGAGCUUUCCCACACAGCCAGUGGUCCCUAGACUACUGACAAUCUCACACAGAAUCAGACUCACCAGCAUCGAAGAGCGCACUGCCUUCAGACACCAUCAAUCGCACCAGCACAGCAGAUAGAUCCUCAGGCUCUCGCUAGCCAUCCUCGUGUCAGGACAGUGUGGAUACAAUCAACCGACAAAUGUUAGCUUAGGUAUGUCCUUCCACGCUACCCCCACACCUCCCAUUCUCCACACUGUUCCUAUUGCACCACCUUAACUAACCACACUACUAAACCAGGGAUAUCAUGUACAUUCUGGAACUCAACACAUCUCUACCCUGACACCCAUUCACCUCUUUAAAUGGAGAAUCUCCAUCGAACAUGCUUCUUAGUCCAGGACUAGACUUAAUCUGGGUCCAGGAAACUAGCCCCAAUCUCCCCCUCCCCGUUAUGCCAAUCUCAUGCUUUGCCCUCACUCGCUUUAACCUCCCCAUAACCCCUUCCUCCCCACAACAUGGUUGUCUCGCUCCCCUCUGAACAUCCAAUCGAACCCCAACCAAAAGUAGCACUUUGAGAACUUGGAGAGGAACGGAAAGCCCAGGUACAUGGAUGAUAUGUCGUUGUGAGGAUUGUAAAAAAAAAAAAAAGACUAAAUGAAAUGGAGAAGUCCCAGACUGAAAAUGUUGUGCACUAAUAAGUGUUGUUCUGCAUAUUUGUGAUGUCAUACUUCUGGGUUGAAAUGCUGUUUGUCUGACAGAUUGGUCUCCAAUAAAGAUUUUUUUUUGUUUAGAAAGAGACUCAGGACUGAAAGCCCAGAAACGGAGUGAAAGAAAAGACAACUUGGAUAAUUAAAUUUUUUUUUUUUUUUUAAUAAUUAUUGUUUGUUGUUUAGCAUUUGAUUUAAUUUAAGUUAAUGUCUGUGUUGUUGGCGCUUGACUGAUAUGAUGCUUUACUGUGUAAAACAAACAGCUGUAGACACUUUCUGAACGUCUGUGCAGUGUCGGGCUGCGUCCCAAAUGACCCCCUAUUUCUGAUGCAGACUAGGUAUUCGUGAAACUUCACUUUGAUCUCAGCUGGUUUGUACUGUUUGCUCCAGGUGGAAGACACCCCUAAAACACUGAUCUGUGUUCUGCUUAUACUCAACCCAUUAGAUCAAGGUUAAGAUUGGGUAAAAGUAAAAAAGGACCUUUAAUUGAGAGCUUGGGGGAAACGUUACCCAUGAAUUUGCCCGUCUGUCUGUCUUAAUGUAAACAGGAAUAUUAUGUUUUUUUAAGAAAAAAAAAUCUAAAAAUUACAAAACAG